Panicum virgatum (switchgrass) is the source of this 862-nucleotide long non-coding RNA. RefSeq lists it as uncharacterized. The transcript is spliced from 6 exons. Lineage: Eukaryota; Viridiplantae; Streptophyta; Magnoliopsida; Poales; Poaceae. The record is from RefSeq and is a predicted model, not a curated record.
ACGCCGCCGUCACCACGCUCGAUGCCCCCAACAUCGGUGUCCGCAGAUGGGGUUUCUUGACGCCAUUGAGCCCAAUGCGCCUCGCAACUCGACUCCCUCAAGCAGUCGGCGGUUGGCGGACGCUUUAUGCUCACCGCCACCCUGCUCCACUCCCCGCAAGACAAGGAGCCAGGGCAGGCAACAGGGGCGGCGGCACGCAGGCCCGCGCACACAGGUGGCGGCGGCGGAGCGCAGACAUUCUUGUUCUCGGGUUUACUGCGCUGGUUUAGAGCUUUGUCAACACGCUUCGGUUGAAUCUCAUCUGUACCAAGGAGAGAAGAAGUUAUAUAUAUAUGAGUACACAUGGAUACAUGCUGUGAUCAUACGCAAAUAUGAAAUAAAAUGGUUCCAACUGCUAAAGUAUUCUCAUCUCCUUAGUGAUUUGGAUCUACUAUAAUUAAUCAGGUUCCAGCUGCUGAAGUAUUCUUAUCUCGUUUGUGACUUGGCUCCAGUUUAAAUAUUCAGGCUAUAGCUUUUACCUCCUCAAGAACUCCUCUCCUCCAGUGUGAACUCGGCAUGCAACACUGAGAAGCUAGCAUCUUCGCUCACAAUUCGAAAUCAGCAACCAGGUACACACAGUUCGACAAAGUUGCAAUUCCUAAUUCAAAAGGAAAACUAAGAAACCUUCUAUUAAUAUUCUCAGAUCUGAUAUUUCAGCUGAACUAUAUGUUUGCUUGGCUUUCUAAACAGUUUUUAUCUUUCCCCUCUCUUAGAUUACCUCUAACAAGCAUGUGUUCUGCAAUUUACUCCAGUCACGUAUCAUGUGGUCUUGCGUCUUUUCCAGAUUUUCCUCACUGUUUAAUGCCACUGUAAUUUACAUGCA